UGGGGAAUUUUGGACAAUGGGGGAAACCCUGACCCAGCCAUCCCGCGUGUGCGAUGAAGGCCUUCGGGUUGUAAAGCACUUUUGGCAGGAAAGAAACGUCAUGGGUUAAUACCCCGUGAAACUGACGGUACCUGCAGAAUAAGCACCGGCUAACUACGUGCCAGCAGCCGCGGUAAUACGGAGGGUGCAAGCGUUAGUCGGAAUUACUGGGCGUAAAGCGUGCGCAGGCGGUUCGGAAAGAAAGAUGUGAAAUCCCAGAGCUCAACUUUGGAACUGCAUUUUUAACUACCUGGCUAGAGUGUGUCAGAGGGAGGUGGAAUUCCGCGUGUAGCAGUGAAAUGCGUAGAUAUGCGGAGGAACACCGAUGGCGAAGGCAGCCUCCUGGGAUAACACUGACGCUCAUGCACGAAAGCGUGGGGAGCAAACAGG
RNAcentral lists this ribosomal RNA (429 nucleotides) under Acidobacteriota bacterium. RNAcentral describes it as "Acidobacteria bacterium partial 16S ribosomal RNA". It matches the Rfam family "Bacterial small subunit ribosomal RNA", at positions 355 to 776 of the family's 1533-position model. Lineage: Bacteria; Pseudomonadati; Acidobacteriota. The record is from RNAcentral.